This 253-nucleotide ribosomal RNA is filed under the name uncultured prokaryote. RNAcentral's name for it is "partial 16S ribosomal RNA". It matches the Rfam family "Bacterial small subunit ribosomal RNA", at positions 525 to 777 of the family's 1533-position model. The record is from RNAcentral.
ACGUAGGGUGCAAGCGUUAAUCGGAAUUACUGGGCGUAAAGCGUGCGCAGGCGGUGAUGUAAGACAGGUGUGAAAUCCCCGGGCUUAACCUGGGAACUGCAUUUGUGACUGCAUCGCUGGAGUGCGGCAGAGGGGGAUGGAAUUCCGCGUGUAGCAGUGAAAUGCGUAGAUAUGCGGAGGAACACCGAUGGCGAAGGCAAUCCCCUGGGCCUGCACUGACGCUCAUGCACGAAAGCGUGGGGAGCAAACAGGA